This 73-nucleotide signal recognition particle RNA is filed under the name Streptococcus mutans NN2025. Its description in RNAcentral is "Bacterial small signal recognition particle RNA". It matches the Rfam family "Bacterial small signal recognition particle RNA", at positions 12 to 81 of the family's 97-position model. Rfam says of the family: The signal recognition particle (SRP) is a universally conserved ribonucleoprotein involved in the co-translational targeting of proteins to membranes. Archaeal SRP consists of a 7S RNA and homologues of the eukaryotic SRP19 and SRP54 proteins. The record is from Rfam by way of RNAcentral. Lineage: Bacteria; Bacillati; Bacillota; Bacilli; Lactobacillales; Streptococcaceae.
GGAGCAACAGCUUUGCGUGAAGCGGGUCAGGGGAGGAAUCCAGCAGCCCUAAGCGAUGUAAGCUGUGUGCUCU